GGCAGUUUAACAGUCCUUAAACUGUGGUAGGGUGUUGCCAGUUCUGGGAUUGAAGAGUUUCGUUAUCUAUUGUUCUUUUCCUCAUGCUCUUUCCUCUUUCCUCAGGGGACUCUAUGUAGCCAGAAUGGGGACAGACAUGGGACUGAAUGUGUGAGAUACUCCCAUAUAUUGUCAUACCAGCUGUGAGAGCCAUGUGCUACCUGAAUGUGAAGGGUGUUCUUGCCAUGUGGAUAACAGAGUUGGUAGAAUCUGCACCCAUUCCAACCUUCAUCUUUUUUCAGCAUGACGCAGGACAAAGAGUGGGGACUUCAUAGUCGGACAGUGCUUGACUUAGCACAGUGCUUGACUUAGCACAGUGCUUGACUUAGCACUGUGGCUACACAAUUUAAUGUGUAAAACCUGGCUACUUUUGAGUGUUUUUAUGAGAUGUAAUAAAAAAAUACAGUGGAUUCUGCUGAUGUGUGCAAUCCAGUGAGAAAACAGGUUUGUAAAAACAUGGUGUGUAUCCAUCUA
RNAcentral lists this long non-coding RNA (513 nucleotides) under Chinchilla lanigera (long-tailed chinchilla). RNAcentral describes it as "lncRNA (ENSCLAG00000026522.1)". Lineage: Eukaryota; Metazoa; Chordata; Mammalia; Rodentia; Chinchillidae. The record is from RNAcentral.